GGGGAUGCUAGGCAUCGACGGUUAACCUACCCAUGUUGUGCAGUGUUGAAAAUGGCAACCAAUUCGUUAAAAGGUUCCAUCUGUAUUUGCAAACAAAGCAAUACCAAGUCCUUACGCUAACGCGUUCGGAUUCGCUCCCGCUCUAGCGUAACCAUUCGCCGGCUGGAUCGAUGCAGCGACGUUAAACGCCUCAUACGGCGUCGUCUGUAAAAUAGCCACGGGGCUGUGGGAAGAUAUGCGUUGCCGUAUCUUUUCAAGCUUGUAGCAACUCGAGUAAUUAUUGUUUUGUCUUUCCUAUAGAUAAUUACUUUAAACAGAACUCCUGCGCUUAGAUGAAGUUCACGAAGUUCAGAAUUUUUAUGAUGAAGGCGUAGAAAAUACUACGACGACUGAAUAAAAAUUCGUGACGACAAAGAAAUUCACUAAGCGCAGAAGUUCUGACAAGGAAAAACUACGCACUGUAGAAGCACCAUGAGUACCUAAUUCGGACUGGGGUUCAACUCCCCACAUCUCCACUU
Molecule: transfer-messenger RNA, 518 nt
Filed under: Candidatus Kaiserbacteria bacterium RIFOXYD1_FULL_42_15
Lineage: Bacteria; Candidatus Kaiseribacteriota
Also listed under: 1 other name
Rfam family: transfer-messenger RNA
About the family: Bacterial tmRNA, also known as 10Sa RNA or SsrA, is named for its dual tRNA and mRNA-like properties. Its role is to liberate the mRNA from a stalled ribosome.
Source: RNAcentral